Molecule: ribosomal RNA, 508 nt
Filed under: uncultured bacterium
Lineage: Bacteria
Description: bacterial SSU rRNA
Rfam family: Bacterial small subunit ribosomal RNA
Source: RNAcentral
GAUUAACGCUGGCGGCAUGCCUAAUACAUGCAAGUCGAACGAAGAUAUUUCGGUAUCUUAGUGGCGAACGGGUGAGUAACACGUAGGUAACCAACCUAAUAGAGAGGGAUAACAGGAAGAAAUUUCUGCUAAUACCAAAUGAAAAAUAUUUGAGGCAUCUCAGAUAUUUGAAAGGGUCCUGAAAGGGAUCGCUAGGAGAUGGACCUGCGGCGCAUUAGUUAGUUGGUGGGGUAGAGGCUUACCAAGACGAUGAUGCGUAGCCGGCCUGAGAGGGUGAACGGCCACACUGGGACUGAGACACGGCCCAGACUCCUACGGGAGGCAGCAGUAGGGAAUAUUCGGCAAUGGGGGAAACCCUGACCGAGCAAUGCCGCGUGAGAGAAGAAGGCCUUAUGGGUUGUAAAUCUCUGUUGUAAGGAAAGAAAGAAGUGUAUAGGAAAUGAUAUGCUUAAGACGGUACCUUGCGAGGAAGUCACGGCAAACUACGUGCCAGCCGCCGCUGUAACAC